Molecule: ribosomal RNA, 494 nt
Filed under: uncultured bacterium
Lineage: Bacteria
Description: partial 16S ribosomal RNA
Rfam family: Bacterial small subunit ribosomal RNA
Source: RNAcentral
GACGAACGCUGGCGGCGCGCUUAACACAUGCAGGUCGAACGGAAAGGCCUGCUUUCCCUUGUGGAUUGCGGGUACUCGAGUGGCGAACGGGUGAGUAACACGUGAGUGAUCUGCCCCCAACUUGGGUAUAAGCCUGGGAAACUGGGUCUAAUUCCCGAUAGGACUGCAGGGUGGUGCCUGUGGUGGAAAACGAUUUUCUAGUGGUUGGGGAUGAGCUCGCGGCCUAUCAGCUUGUUGGUGGGGUAAUGGCCUACCAAGGCGGCGACGGGUAGCCGGCCUGAGAGGGUGGACGGCGACAUUGGGACUGAGAUACGGCCCAGACUCCUACGGGAGGCAGCAGUGGGGAAUAUUGCACAAUGGGCGGAAGCCUGAUGCAGCGACGCCGCGUGGGGGAUGACGGCCUUCGGGUUGUAAACUCCUUUCGACCGCGAGGAAGCCACCUGGUUGGAAGGGUGGUGACGGUAGUGGUAGAAGAAGCACCGGCUAACUACGUG